UGGGUAAAUGAUGACGGCUCGUGGUGUGAGUCUUGGGUGAUGAGCCCCACAGGUCUGGGGUUCUGAGGUCCAG
Molecule: small nucleolar RNA, 73 nt
Organism: Camelus dromedarius (Arabian camel)
Lineage: Eukaryota; Metazoa; Chordata; Mammalia; Artiodactyla; Camelidae
Source: Ensembl